CCUACGGGGGGCUGCAGUGAGGAAUAUUGCGCAAUGGGGGAAACCCUGACGCAGCAACGCCGCGUGAGUGAGGAAGGUCUUCGGAUCGUAAAGCUCUGUCAGUUGGGAAGAAAUGCCUGUUGGUUAAUACCCUUCAGGCUUGACGGUACCAACAGAGGAAGCACCGGCUAACUCCGUGCCAGCAGCCGCGGUAAUACGGGGGGUGCAAGCGUUGUUCGGAAUUAUUGGGCGUAAAGAGCGUGUAGGCGGCCUGAUGUGUCAGAUGUGAAAGCCCUGGGCUUAACCCAGGAAGUGCAUUUGAAACUGUCAGGCUCGAGUAGGGGAGAGGGAAGUGGAAUUCCUGGUGUAGAGGUGAAAUUCGUAGAUAUCAGGAGGAACACCGGUGGCGAAGGCGACUUCCUGGCCCUAUACUGACGCUGAGACGCGAGAGCGUGGGUAGCAAACAGGAUUAGAUACCCUAGUAGUC
Molecule: ribosomal RNA, 466 nt
Filed under: uncultured Syntrophaceae bacterium
Lineage: Bacteria; Pseudomonadati; Thermodesulfobacteriota; Syntrophia; Syntrophales; Syntrophaceae
Description: bacterial SSU rRNA
Rfam family: Bacterial small subunit ribosomal RNA
Source: RNAcentral